Long non-coding RNA from Heterocephalus glaber (naked mole-rat), 441 nucleotides. The record is from Ensembl. NCBI's taxonomy places the organism in Eukaryota, Metazoa, Chordata, Mammalia, Rodentia, Bathyergidae.
GGAAGCGGCGGCCGGAGGCCGGGCCCGGCAUGCCUCCGAGGAAAGCAAACCGGAGUUACGCGGCACCUCUGGUUCUGCUGGCCAAGCACACAGCACUCUAGUGAUUGUGUCGUAAAUCCUUAUAGUCUCGCGGCCACAAGAGGAAACCCUUCAUUUUAUAAAUAAACCGAAGGCUGGCCAUGCUCCAAAUUCCUUUUCUGGGAUUCCAUUUAACACAUAUUUUGGAGCAUCGUCGCGUCUGAACAUGCUGAUAGGAGGAAGCGUGUGGUUGGAGGAAGGUCACUGAGGCCCGUAGUGGUGGUGCACCUAUGGCAUGCAUGCUGCAGUACGCUGUUUGUAUCACUGAAAGUUCUAAAAGGUUUGACAUCACUGCUCCAGAGCAUGCAUGCUUCAGAACCUCCCCUUCCUUCAUCUCCUCGCCCAUAUACACAAUGAACAGAG